Molecule: ribosomal RNA, 469 nt
Filed under: uncultured Rhodocyclaceae bacterium
Lineage: Bacteria; Pseudomonadati; Pseudomonadota; Betaproteobacteria; Rhodocyclales; Rhodocyclaceae
Description: bacterial SSU rRNA
Rfam family: Bacterial small subunit ribosomal RNA
Source: RNAcentral
AGACGGGACCCGCACAAGCGGUGGAUGAUGUGGAUUAAUUCGAUGCAACGCGAAAACCUUACCUACCCUUGACAUGUCCGGAAUCCGAAGAGAUUUGGGAGUGCUCGCAAGAGAGCCGGAACACAGGUGCUGCAUGGCUGUCGUCAGCUCGUGUCGUGAGAUGUUGGGUUAAGUCCCGCAACGAGCGCAACCCUUGUCAUUAGUUGCCAUCAUUUGGUUGGGCACUCUAAUGAGACUGCCGGUGACAAACCGGAGGAAGGUGGGGAUGACGUCAAGUCCUCAUGGCCCUUAUGGGUAGGGCUUCACACGUCAUACAAUGGUCGGUACAGAGGGUUGCCAACCCGCGAGGGGGAGCUAAUCCCACAAAGCCGAUCGUAGUCCGGAUCGCAGUCUGCAACUCGACUGCGUGAAGUCGGAAUCGCUAGUAAUCGUGGAUCAGCAUGUCACGGUGAAUACGUUCCCGGGUCUU